Molecule: ribosomal RNA, 345 nt
Filed under: uncultured bacterium
Lineage: Bacteria
Description: bacterial SSU rRNA
Rfam family: Bacterial small subunit ribosomal RNA
Source: RNAcentral
CCUGAACGCUGGCGGCGUGGCUAAGACAUGCAAGUCGCACGGUGUAGCAAUACACAGUGGCGAACGGGUGAGUAAUGAAUCGCUAACGUACCCCGGACUCUGGGAUAGCUAACCGAAAGGUUAGGUAAUACCAGAUAAUAUAACCCUUCCGCAUGGUUGGGUUCGUCAAAGGUCCGCCGGUCUGGGAGCGGGCGAUUUCGUAUCAGCUAGUUGGCGGGGUAACGGCCCACCAAGGCGACGACGCGUAGCCGGACUGAGAGGUUGGCCGGCCACAUUGGGACUGAGACACUGCCCAGACUCCUACGGGGGCUGCAGUAACGAAUCUUCCGCAAUGCCCGCAAGGGU